GCCCUGCAUGUCUAGUAUAGCACUAUACACGCGAACUGCGCAUGGCUCAUUAUAUCCUUAUCGUUUAUUUGAUAGUACCUUACUACUUGGAUAACCGUGGUAAUUCUAGAGCUAAUACAUGCUAAAAAUCCCGACUUCGGAAGGGAUGUAUUUAUUAGAUAAAUAACCAAUGCCCUUCGGGCUCUCUUGGUGAUUCAUAAUAAUUCACCAAAUCGAAGGCCUUGGCGCGGGCAAGGGUUCAUUCAAUUUUCUCCCCUACCAAUUUUCAAUGUUAGGAUA
RNAcentral lists this ribosomal RNA (279 nucleotides) under uncultured Pezizomycotina. Its description in RNAcentral is "partial 18S ribosomal RNA". It matches the Rfam family "Eukaryotic small subunit ribosomal RNA", at positions 48 to 335 of the family's 1831-position model. The record is from RNAcentral. Lineage: Eukaryota; Fungi; Ascomycota.